AAUCAACGCUGGCGGCGUGCCUCAGACAUGCAAGUCGAACGCGAAAUUUCCCUUCGGGGAGAAAGUAGAGUGGCGCACGGGUGAGUAACACGUAGGUAAUUUGCCUUUGGGUGGGGAAUAACAGUCGGAAACGGCUGCUAAUACCGCAUAAUGCAGCGGCUCGACAUCGAGACAGUUGUUAAAGCGGGGGAUCGCAAGACCUCGCGCCUGAAGAGAAGCCUGCGGCAGAUUAGCUAGUUGGUAGGUAAUGGCCUACCAAGGCAACGAUCUGUAACCGGCCUGAGAGGGCGGUCGGUCACACUGACACUGACAUACGGGUCAGACUCCUACGGGAGGCAGCAGUUCGGGAAUUUUGGGCAAUGGGCGAAAGCCUGACCCAGCAACGCCGCGUGAAGGAU
RNAcentral lists this ribosomal RNA (398 nucleotides) under uncultured bacterium. Its description in RNAcentral is "bacterial SSU rRNA". It matches the Rfam family "Bacterial small subunit ribosomal RNA", at positions 32 to 409 of the family's 1533-position model. The record is from RNAcentral.